GUGCUUGCUCAGGCAGCACAUAUGACAAAAUUGGAACGAUACAGAGAAGAUUAGCAUGGCCCCCCCCGAGGGGUCGACACGCGCAAAUUCGUGAAGCGUUACCACAUUUU
Perca fluviatilis (European perch) is the source of this 110-nucleotide small nuclear RNA. NCBI's taxonomy places the organism in Eukaryota, Metazoa, Chordata, Actinopteri, Perciformes, Percidae. The record is from RefSeq and is a predicted model, not a curated record.